UUUUUUAUUUUUUUUUUUUGUAAAUAAUGUGAUAUCCAAAGUUUAGAUAGGAGAUCAUUUGAAAAAAAAAAUUAUUUAAAAUAAUACUGUGACACUUUUUGUGAUUCGAUAUAUGUGAAUAAAAAGAUAGCUGAAUAUAUAAAAAAUUAGUUGAAAAAUGUGUUUAUGAUACAAGUCAAAUAAUAUUGGAAAUAAAUGUUCAUAUCCAAACAGACCCAGUCGAUCCUGAUUGGGAAAAAAAAUGUACAUUUCAUAUGACAAGCCUUAAAUCUAUUUUAACAACACGUGUAGGGCUUAUAAAAAAAUAUACUAAGUUGAUAUUAUGUUCAAGUUGAUUUACAUUCUGAACGUGAAUAUAUUUUGUUAAAAUGCACGAAAUCAUUCCCAGACCAUUACACUAGUAAUCAUCCCUGUCUUAUGUCUAUUUUUUACUACAUAAAAGCACAUAUUCACAUUUACUUUUCCUUGCAUCUAGACUCUUUUUCAAGUUAAUCUCCCUUUUGUUAAAAAAAAAAACUAUUUUAGAUCGGGCACCUAUUAUUAUUUUUUUCUUUUUUUUUUCGAUUGGGAGGUAUCCUGGUCAAUUGACCAAACUAAUCCCCCCAGGCUGGAAGAGCCCGCCCUUGCUCCUGAAGAGGAGGCUAAACUCUUUUAUCAAUUGAAAGUAUUCAGACAUAGCACUGAGAUUAAACCCAAAGAAUUAACACCUCAAAUAUUUCUUAACACGGAGAAAACCUUUUUAUUAAUUGAAUGUAUUUAGACAUAGAAAAGAGAUCAGAUCCAUCAAAAGUUUGCAAUUGAAGUCAAAGCAUUAUAAUAAGAAUAACUAUUAAUCUAAAACUAGACGGGGGAUCGAUAAGUUUGUUAUUUCCUUCCGGUUUGUAACAGGAAAUUAAGGACUAUGAGGUGAACUGAUAAAGAUUUGUACGUUUAGCUGUUUCAUACUUAGACAUGUCAUAGGAAUAUUUUGCCAUAUCCAUACAAUUGUGACUUGACACAUAAAUGGAGGUCUCAAGCAGCCCUAUGAAAUCGAAUCUUAAUUCAAGAACCCACCGCAUAUAUUGAGACUUGAAAGAUCUUGGCCAUAUCAUGGAACCUGCUGCUGUCACAAUCUAGUUGCUGCAUUUUUCAUUUGUUUAGUACAUUAAUUGAAAUCGAUUUAUUGGCUACAAGCAGGAAAAUUCUGCUAAGAGAAUAGUGAAUAUACCGCCAUAGCUUUAAAUAAUCUAAUUGAACCAGCCACAAAGGAACAAUUGCAAGAUGGAGCUGAUGUCCACCGUCCACUCCAAUUCAAUUCACAAGGACUUGUAAAAAAGUUCCACUGGUUUACUUUGCAGAGCAAAACAGUUGUGCAAACACAAAUGGAAAAAGCAAAUCAAGAAGGAAAAAAAAAAUUACAUCCCAUUAUAAUUUAGCUUGAAUUCUGUUGUAAAAUAUGUUAAAUGCGUAUCUUCUCCUUUGCAUUCCUUUUUGGCUGAUUUCCAA
Molecule: long non-coding RNA, 1485 nt
Filed under: Coffea arabica (coffee)
Lineage: Eukaryota; Viridiplantae; Streptophyta; Magnoliopsida; Gentianales; Rubiaceae
Description: long non-coding RNA (CARA_LNC003558)
Source: RNAcentral